Molecule: ribosomal RNA, 264 nt
Filed under: uncultured bacterium
Lineage: Bacteria
Description: 16S ribosomal RNA
Rfam family: Bacterial small subunit ribosomal RNA
Source: RNAcentral
ACGCGAACGCCCCUUCGGAGUNNNNGACGGGUGAGUAACGCGUGGGAACGUGCCCUUUGGUACGGAACAACUGAGGGAAACUUCAGCUAAUACCGUAUGUGCCCCCAUUCUUAGCGGGAUGGGUGGGAAAGAUUUAUCGCCAUUGGAGCGGCCCGCGUUAGAUUAGCUAGUUGGUAGGGUAAUGGCCUACCAAGGCGACGAUCUAUAGCUGGUCUGAGAGGAUGAUCAGCCACACUGGGACUGAGACACGGCCCAGACUCCUAC